RNAcentral lists this ribosomal RNA (253 nucleotides) under uncultured bacterium. RNAcentral describes it as "partial 16S ribosomal RNA". It matches the Rfam family "Bacterial small subunit ribosomal RNA", at positions 524 to 776 of the family's 1533-position model. The record is from RNAcentral.
UACGUAGGGUGCGAGCGUUAAUCGGAAUUACUGGGCGUAAAGCGUGCGCAGGCGGUUCGUUAUGUCCGUUGUGAAAGCCCCGGGCUCAACCUGGGAAUGGCAAUGGAAACUGGCGGGCUAGAGUGUGGCAGAGGGGGGUGGAAUUCCGCGUGUAGCAGUGAAAUGCGUAGAUAUGCGGAGGAACACCGAUGGCGAAGGCAAUCCCCUGGACCUGUACUGACGCUCAUGCACGAAAGCGUGGGGAGCAAACAGG